This 253-nucleotide ribosomal RNA is filed under the name uncultured bacterium. Its description in RNAcentral is "partial 16S ribosomal RNA". It matches the Rfam family "Bacterial small subunit ribosomal RNA", at positions 524 to 776 of the family's 1533-position model. The record is from RNAcentral.
UACGUAGGGGGCAAGCGUUGUCCGGAAUUACUGGGCGUAAAGGGCGUGUAGGCGGUUUGGCAAGUCUAAUGUGAAACCCCAGGGCUUAACCUUGGGCAUGCAUAAGAAACUGCUGGACUUGAGGGCAAGAGAGGAAAGUGGAAUUCCUAGUGUAGCGGUGAAAUGCGUAGAUAUUAGGAGGAACACCAGUGGCGAAGGCGACUUUCUGGAUUGACCCUGACACUGAGGCGCGAAAGCUAGGGGAGCAAACAGG